RNAcentral lists this long non-coding RNA (417 nucleotides) under Setaria viridis. RNAcentral's name for it is "long non-coding RNA (SVIR_LNC000113)". The record is from RNAcentral. Lineage: Eukaryota; Viridiplantae; Streptophyta; Magnoliopsida; Poales; Poaceae.
CCAAGUAUCACAAGAGGAUUCAGACAAGGAUUCAAAUGCGAUGGCUACUUUAGGGGAGUUCUCUUAUAACCUUGACAACAGCAAUGCCCAGACCUUCCAACUAGAGAGAAGCGCCAAUCCACAAGCUGUCAACAUGGUUCGGUUUGAAUUCUCCUCAAACCACGGGAACUCGGAACUUACAUGCAUCUAUCGCUUCAGGGUGCAUGGUACAGAGCCUGGCACCCUCAGCAUUGCAGCAUGAUGCCCUGAUGGCCUGCUCUGUGAGUUGCAUGCAGGGCUUCACAAGAUUCCCACAGCUCAUUUGCCAGUGUGAGCAUGGUUUAGCAUUUAGUCAGCACUUCAGGCCCUAUCAGACAGUUCUAGGACAGGUGGGAGAGUGAAUGCCAGAGCAUGGCGCAAGGGAAGGUUGAGCUCAUU